This 429-nucleotide ribosomal RNA is filed under the name Gemmatimonadota bacterium. Its description in RNAcentral is "Gemmatimonadetes bacterium partial 16S ribosomal RNA". It matches the Rfam family "Bacterial small subunit ribosomal RNA", at positions 355 to 776 of the family's 1533-position model. Lineage: Bacteria; Pseudomonadati; Gemmatimonadota. The record is from RNAcentral.
UAGGGAAUCUUCGGCAAUGGACGAAAGUCUGACCGAGCAACGCCGCGUGAGUGAAGAAGGUUUUCGGAUCGUAAAACUCUGUUGUUAGAGAAGAACAAGGACGUUAGUAACUGAACGUCCCCUGACGGUAUCUAACCAGAAAGCCACGGCUAACUACGUGCCAGCAGCCGCGGUAAUACGUAGGUGGCAAGCGUUGUCCGGAUUUAUUGGGCGUAAAGCGAGCGCAGGCGGUUUCUUAAGUCGGAUGUGAAAGCCCCCGGCUCAACCGGGGAGGGUCAUUGGAAACUGGGAGACUUAAGUGCAGAGGAGGAGGGUGGAAUUCCAUGUGUGGCGGUGAAAGGCGUAGUUAUAUGGAGGAACACCAGUGGCGAAGGCGGCUCUCUGGUCUGUAACUGACGCUGGGGCUCGAAAGCGUGGGGAGCAAACAGG